Molecule: transfer RNA, 76 nt
Filed under: Curtobacterium sp. 314Chir4.1
Lineage: Bacteria; Bacillati; Actinomycetota; Actinomycetes; Micrococcales; Microbacteriaceae
Also listed under: 2 other names
Description: tRNA_Ala_TGC
Rfam family: tRNA
About the family: Transfer RNA (tRNA) molecules are approximately 80 nucleotides in length. Their secondary structure includes four short double-helical elements and three loops (D, anti-codon, and T loops). Further hydrogen bonds mediate the characteristic L-shaped molecular structure. tRNAs have two regions of fundamental functional importance: the anti-codon, which is responsible for specific mRNA codon recognition, and the 3' end, to which the tRNAs corresponding amino acid is attached (by aminoacyl-tRNA synthetases). tRNAs cope with the degeneracy of the genetic code in two manners: having more than one tRNA (with a specific anti-codon) for a particular amino acid; and 'wobble' base-pairing, i.e. permitting non-standard base-pairing at the 3rd anti-codon position.
Source: RNAcentral
GGGGCCUUAGCUCAGUUGGUAGAGCGCCUGCUUUGCAAGCAGGAUGUCAGGAGUUCGAUUCUCCUAGGCUCCACAA